Molecule: unclassified non-coding RNA, 347 nt
Filed under: Hevea brasiliensis (rubber tree)
Lineage: Eukaryota; Viridiplantae; Streptophyta; Magnoliopsida; Malpighiales; Euphorbiaceae
Source: RNAcentral
AGAGUAGCGGGACAGUGAAAGAAUUGUUUAAAGUUCAUUAUCCAGGAAAAUCAAAAAUAGUCUUUUAGUUUGAUGUUCUUAAAGGGUUCUGGGAUUCAAAGUCGAUUCAGACAUCUUGGUUCGUUGUUCGUGUCGGAGUUUGACGUUCACGAAAUUAUCCAAUGGGUGUUGAAGUUCGCUAUUUCCUUACUCGUUGCUGUCACAAUAUGCUGCCCCUCUAAAGACUAUGUUCAUUUGGUAUUUUGAGCACAUUAGGAGUUCUAGAGCUUGGAAUAGAGUGAUUCUUGUGACGUUCUUCUUGAUAUAAUAUGGAGAUGUUGUUGUUCAAGAUUUUUAUUGAGAUAAUA